UACGAAGGGGGCUAGCGUUGCUCGGAAUCACUGGGCGUAAAGCGCGUGUAGGCAGCUCGGAAAGUCGGGUGUGAAAGCCCUGGGCUCAACCUAGGAAGUGCACUCGAAACUUCCGAGCUGGAGUGCUGGAGAGGAAGGCGGAAUUCUCGGUGUAGAGGUGAAAUUCGUAGAUAUCGAGAGGAACACCGGUGGCGAAGGCGGCCUUCUGGACAGUUACUGACGCUGAGACGCGAAAGCGUGGGGAGCAAACAGG
RNAcentral lists this ribosomal RNA (253 nucleotides) under uncultured bacterium. RNAcentral describes it as "partial 16S ribosomal RNA". It matches the Rfam family "Bacterial small subunit ribosomal RNA", at positions 524 to 776 of the family's 1533-position model. The record is from RNAcentral.